CCUACGGGAGGCAGCAGUGGGGAAUAUUGGGCAAUGGGCGCAAGCCUGACCCAGCAACGCCGCGUGAAGGAAGAAGGCUCUCGGGUUGUAAACUUCUUUUAUCAGGGACGAAGCAAGUGACGGUACCUGAUGAAUAAGCCACGGCUAACUACGUGCCAGCAGCCGCGGUAAUACGUAGGUGGCAAGCGUUAUCCGGAUUUACUGGGUGUAAAGGGCGUGUAGGCGGGAAAGCAAGUCAGAUGUGAAAACCAUGGGCUCAACCUGUGGCCUGCAUUUGAAACUGUUUUUCUUGAGUACUGGAGAGGCAGACGGAAUUCCUAGUGUAGCGGUGAAAUGCGUAGAUAUUAGGAGGAACACCAGUGGCGAAGGCGACUAUCUGGAACAUAACUGACGCUGAGGAGCGAAAGCGUGGGUAGCAAACAGGAUUAGAUACCCGAGUAGUC
RNAcentral lists this ribosomal RNA (443 nucleotides) under uncultured bacterium. RNAcentral's name for it is "partial 16S ribosomal RNA". It matches the Rfam family "Bacterial small subunit ribosomal RNA", at positions 338 to 795 of the family's 1533-position model. The record is from RNAcentral.